This 425-nucleotide ribosomal RNA is filed under the name uncultured bacterium. Its description in RNAcentral is "bacterial SSU rRNA". It matches the Rfam family "Bacterial small subunit ribosomal RNA", at positions 355 to 796 of the family's 1533-position model. The record is from RNAcentral.
UGGGGAAUAUUGCGCAAUGGGCGGAAGCCUGACGCAGCGACGCCGCGUGCGGGAUGAAGGCCUUCGGGUUGUAAACCGCUUUCAGCAGGGACGAACCUAGACGGUACCUGCAGAAGAAGCGCCGGCUAACUACGUGCCAGCAGCCGCGGUAACACGUAGGGCGCAAGCGUUGUCCGGAAUUAUUGGGCGUAAAGAGCUCGUAGGCGGCCUGUUGCGUCCGCUGUGAAAGCCCGGGGCUUAACCCCGGGUCUGCAGUGGAUACGGGCAGGCUAGAGGUAGGUAGGGGAGAAUGGAAUUCCUGGUGUAGCGGUGAAAUGCGCAGAUAUCAGGAGGAACACCGGUGGCGAAGGCGGUUCUCUGGGCCUUACCUGACGCUGAGGAGCGAAAGCGUGGGGAGCGAACAGGAUUAGAUACCCCGGUAGUCC